CCUACGGGAGGCAGCAGUGGGGAAUAUUGGACAAUGGGGGGAACCCUGAUCCAGCCAUGCCGCGUGUGUGAAGAAGGCCCUCGGGUUGUAAAGCACUUUCAGUGAGGAAGAACGCCUGGUGGUUAAUACCCAUCAGGAAAGACAUCACUCACAGAAGAAGCACCGGCUAACUCCGUGCCAGCAGCCGCGGUAAUACGGAGGGUGCGAGCGUUAAUCGGAAUUACUGGGCGUAAAGCGCGCGUAGGUGGCUUGAUAAGCCGGUUGUGAAAGCCCCGGGCUCAACCUGGGAACGGCAUCCGGAACUGUCAAGCUAGAGUGCAGGAGAGGAAGGUAGAAUUCCCGGUGUAGCGGUGAAAUGCGUAGAGAUCGGGAGGAAUACCAGUGGCGAAGACGGCCUUCUGGACUGACACUGACACUGAGGUGCGAAAGCGUGGGUAGCAAACAGGAUUAGAUACCCGGGUAGUC
Molecule: ribosomal RNA, 465 nt
Filed under: Vreelandella stevensii
Lineage: Bacteria; Pseudomonadati; Pseudomonadota; Gammaproteobacteria; Oceanospirillales; Halomonadaceae
Description: partial 16S ribosomal RNA
Rfam family: Bacterial small subunit ribosomal RNA
Source: RNAcentral